RNAcentral lists this non-coding RNA (32 nucleotides) under Homo sapiens (human). Lineage: Eukaryota; Metazoa; Chordata; Mammalia; Primates; Hominidae. The record is from RNAcentral.
AUCCUCAGGUCAGACAGACCCAGUGUUGCCUA